This 494-nucleotide ribosomal RNA is filed under the name Acinetobacter baumannii. RNAcentral describes it as "bacterial SSU rRNA". It matches the Rfam family "Bacterial small subunit ribosomal RNA", at positions 10 to 498 of the family's 1533-position model. Lineage: Bacteria; Pseudomonadati; Pseudomonadota; Gammaproteobacteria; Moraxellales; Moraxellaceae. The record is from RNAcentral.
AGUUUGAUCAUGGCUCAGGAUUGAACGCUGGCGGCAGGCUUAACACAUGCAAGUCGAGCGGGGGAAGGUAGCUUGCUACUGGACCUAGCGGCGGACGGGUGAGUAAUGCUUAGGAAUCUGCCUAUUAGUGGGGGACAACAUCUCGAAAGGGAUGCUAAUACCGCAUACGUCCUACGGGAGAAAGCAGGGGAUCUUCGGACCUUGCGCUAAUAGAUGAGCCUAAGUCGGAUUAGCUAGUUGGUGGGGUAAAGGCCUACCAAGGCGACGAUCUGUAGCGGGUCUGAGAGGAUGAUCCGCCACACUGGGACUGAGACACGGCCCAGACUCCUACGGGAGGCAGCAGUGGGGAAUAUUGGACAAUGGGGGGAACCCUGAUCCAGCCAUGCCGCGUGUGUGAAGAAGGCCUUAUGGUUGUAAAGCACUUUAAGCGAGGAGGAGGCUACUUUAGUUAAUACCUAGAGAUAGUGGACGUACUCGCAGAAUAAGCACCGGCU